This 253-nucleotide ribosomal RNA is filed under the name uncultured bacterium. RNAcentral describes it as "partial 16S ribosomal RNA". It matches the Rfam family "Bacterial small subunit ribosomal RNA", at positions 524 to 776 of the family's 1533-position model. The record is from RNAcentral.
UACGUAGGGGGCAAGCGUUGUCCGGAAUCAUUGGGCGUAAAGAGCGUGUAGGCGGCUCGGUAAGUCCGCUGUGAAAGUCCAGGGCUCAACCCUGGAAUGCCGGUGGAAACUGUCGAGCUAGAGUCCGGAAGAGGCGAGUGGAAUUCCUGGUGUAGCGGUGAAAUGCGCAGAUAUCAGGAAGAACACCCGUGGCUAAGGCGGCUCUCUAGUACGGUACUGACGCUGAGACGCGAAAGCGUGGGGAGCAAACAGG